Molecule: ribosomal RNA, 300 nt
Filed under: uncultured Acholeplasma sp.
Lineage: Bacteria; Bacillati; Mycoplasmatota; Mollicutes; Acholeplasmatales; Acholeplasmataceae
Description: bacterial SSU rRNA
Rfam family: Bacterial small subunit ribosomal RNA
Source: RNAcentral
GCUAACUAUGUGCCAGCAGCCGCGGUAAUACAUAGGGGGCAAGCGUUAUCCGGAAUUAUUGGGCGUAAAGCGUGCGUAGGCGGUUUAUUAAGUCUAGUGUGAAAUUUUACAGCUUAACUGUAAAGGGUCAUUGGAAACUGGUAAACUUGAGUACGGUAGGGACAAGUGGAAUUCCAAGUGGAGCGGUGGAAUGCGUAGAUAUUUGGAAGAACACCAGUAGCGAAGGCGGCUUGUUGGGCCGGAACUGACGCUGAUGCACGAAAGCGUGGGUAGCAAACAGGAUUAGAUACCCUUGUAGUC